RNAcentral lists this ribosomal RNA (542 nucleotides) under Bifidobacterium breve. RNAcentral's name for it is "bacterial SSU rRNA". It matches the Rfam family "Bacterial small subunit ribosomal RNA", at positions 160 to 711 of the family's 1533-position model. Lineage: Bacteria; Bacillati; Actinomycetota; Actinomycetes; Bifidobacteriales; Bifidobacteriaceae. The record is from RNAcentral.
GUGGUAAUGCCGGAUGCUCCAUCACACCGCAUGGUGUGUUGGGAAAGCCUUUGCGGCAUGGGAUGGGGUCGCGUCCUAUCAGCUUGAUGGCGGGGUAACGGCCCACCAUGGCUUCGACGGGUAGCCGGCCUGAGAGGGCGACCGGCCACAUUGGGACUGAGAUACGGCCCAGACUCCUACGGGAGGCAGCAGUGGGGAAUAUUGCACAAUGGGCGCAAGCCUGAUGCAGCGACGCCGCGUGAGGGAUGGAGGCCUUCGGGUUGUAAACCUCUUUUGUUAGGGAGCAAGGCACUUUGUGUUGAGUGUACCUUUCGAAUAAGCACCGGCUAACUACGUGCCAGCAGCCGCGGUAAUACGUAGGGUGCAAGCGUUAUCCGGAAUUAUUGGGCGUAAAGGGCUCGUAGGCGGUUCGUCGCGUCCGGUGUGAAAGUCCAUCGCUUAACGGUGGAUCCGCGCCGGGUACGGGCGGGCUUGAGUGCGGUAGGGGAGACUGGAAUUCCCGGUGUAACGGUGGAAUGUGUAGAUAUCGGAAAAGAACACCA